GACGAACGCUGGCGGCGUGCUUAACACAUGCAAGUCGAACGGAAAGGCCCUGCUUGCAGGGUGCUCGAGUGGCGAACGGGUGAGUAACACGUGGGUGAUCUGCCCCUUACUUUGGGAUAAGCCUGGGAAACUGGGUCUAAUACUGGAUAGGACCAUGCUGUAGGUGGUGUGGUGGAAAGAUUAGUUUCGGUAAGGGAUGAGCUCGCGGCCUAUCAGCUUGUUGGUGGGGUAAUGGCCUACCAAGGCGUCGACGGGUAGCCGGCCUGAGAGGGUGGACGGCCACAUUGGGACUGAGAGACGGACCAGACUCCUACGGGAGGCAGCAGUGGGGAAUAGUGCACAAUGGGCGCAAGCCUGAUGCAGCGACGCCGCGUGGGGGAUGACGGCCUUCGGGUUGUAAACUCCUUUCAGCCAUGACGAAGCCCUUGUGGUGACGGUAGUGGUAGAAGAAGCACCGGCUAACUACGUG
This 469-nucleotide ribosomal RNA is filed under the name uncultured bacterium. Its description in RNAcentral is "partial 16S ribosomal RNA". It matches the Rfam family "Bacterial small subunit ribosomal RNA", at positions 28 to 507 of the family's 1533-position model. The record is from RNAcentral.